This is a long non-coding RNA of Rosa chinensis, 3816 nucleotides long. RefSeq lists it as uncharacterized. Lineage: Eukaryota; Viridiplantae; Streptophyta; Magnoliopsida; Rosales; Rosaceae. The record is from RefSeq and is a predicted model, not a curated record. The transcript has 5 exons.
AACCUCUUUUUUAUUUAUUUCAACAGUUGAUCGUAACUGUUAUUUUUUAUAUCUCAACAUGUUGAUUAUGUGGUGGCUGAAGGAUUCAAGAGCGGGUUGUGUUGAUCAGAAAUCAUGAGGGAAAUUUUGGAAGUUUUGCACAACACCUCGUCUCUACCGAGGGUAGCUUAAGUCCUACUGGUUGUUAUUGAAGAUGCUCCGAUUGGUAUCAUAUUGGUCAGCAGUUGUUUACCAGCUUCGUGAAGGUAAUUAUGCUCAGCAUAACAUGGACUGUUGGUUAGAGGGAGGCCGAUGUCUUAUUGGUUAUUGUCAAGUUUGAGGAUUGAAAGAAGAAGAAGAAAAUCCUGUAAGCAUAAGCUCAAGCACAAGACAUCAAGAUCAAGCUCUGCCUCAUCAUCUCCAAUCAAUUCUGAAUCAUAAGAAUCAGAAAGAUUUAAGUCGAAUUUCGUCUUGUUAUUUGUUACAUGACUACAAGUAGAAUGGGCAGUAGUAGCAUCUGUGGCGUCUCUGACUGCCCCCAGGGAUGAAGGACUUCUUGUACCUUUGAUGUCAUUGUUCUUCAUCGCCAGGUUUGCCUUGUACUUUUUGAUAAUGCGGUGGACUUGUGUACAAUCUCGGGGCCAAGUCUCUGGUUUGGUCUUCUGAGGUUUGAAGAUGAUCAUGCACACAACGGUACCACAAAGUGUUGAAAGCUCGUCCGCCUUCUUACCACAAAUUCCUUUCCCGAUCCCGGAGAAGCUUUCUUCAAUUGUACCAGAAACCGAAGAACAAUUGUCACUUCAGUUUAAAACUGCUUUUUUCUUAUGAGCUCUUCAAAAUUGUUUAGUUUCUGACUUUCCUGAAAGCACUAGGUUCCAUAGAAGCCUUGACAAUGUUCGACGGCAUUGGAGCCGCCUAGUCCUUCCCUCCCGGCAUCAACUCUCUCAAGCGUCUCUCAGAUCAGCUCGCUGCUCUGUCUUUGAUUCCCAAGAAGAUCAGCUCGCUUUUCUCUGCACAUUAAUCCCUUCGCUUCCUGCAAUGCUCCUCCGAUUCUGAUUACAGGCUUACCAAGUUGAAUUGGAGUAAUUGGGGGUUGAAUUAGACGAGAAGAACGAGCGGCAUUUGAAAGAGAAGGGCGUUUUCUUGCUUGCAGAGCUGAAGAAACCCAGACGAUAAACACGCCGUAUAGAACUUGACCUAUGACUGCACCUUUGGUGUUUACUGGACUGAAUGCCAUUUUAGUUUCAACCAUUGCUCCUGUCUAUGAUUUUGUCUGCUUUCUUCCUUUUUGGGAAAGACGGGUUUUUUUUACUAAUGCUACUGUGGAGACGGACAAUCCUGAUCUGAGAGAUCGUGCAUACAUAUAUUGGCGCCUUCUAUCAACUGAUCCUGAGGUGGGUUUUGUCUAAUUAUGUGUAUAGUGUCUAAUUAAUGUCUGCUGCUAGUUAGUAACUAAUAAUAAUGUAUAAUUAGUUGUAGUUGCGUUAUGUAUGAAAUGUGCCAGAACAUAAAAAACAAACUUCGAAAUAAGAUGGAAGAUGAGUUUUUUGAUGAUUUGAUGAUUCUCUACAUCGAAAAAGAAUUUGCCGAUAGCAUUGAUAAUGAUUCUGUGAUUGCUGAGUUUGAACUCAGUGGGUCUAGGAGGGUACGAUUUAGUUAGUUUAUUGUUAUUUUACAACAAAUGUAUGCUUGUAGUUUUUAAUUUACGGGGUUUGGUUUUAUGUCCCCUCCGUUGUAUGUUUUGAUCCAAAAUAAUAAAGGCGUGAGGAUGAGCCUCCCACUGAGUUCCAAACCUCAAAAAAAAAAAAAUUAUUGUGCCCUUCUAAUUAGCCUAGACAGGAAUUUGAUCCUGGUUCCGCCACUGGUUCAAUGAUUGCACAAUCUUUUUACCUAUACCUGUAGUUAUGAUGGGGUUCUAUUUUUAUAUUGUGUGCACCACAAAACAUGCUUAAGCUGAUUGAAAUUUCUACACAAGGUGUUUAAACAUAGAACUGACAUUAAGCUAGUUGUCUCUUAGGCUCUAGGCAUCUAUGAAAUCAUACAUGCCUUUAACGAUUUUUAAAUAUUUAAUUCAUCUUAGGUGUUCUGCUUCUUCCUUAUAUCAAUAGUAAAACAAAUUUGUGAAAAAGAAGUAACGAGAGGGAAUGCUUUGACUGUCAGAAAGUUCUUGUCUCACCAACUUGGAUCACAUAUUUCAAAAUUUAAUGAUAUCCGGCUGAAAAGAAGGUAGUAGAAAAAACUGUAAAUGCAAAAAGGUUGAAUUGGUGACGUCCACUUGGCCGACCAAUGUUGCUCACAGAAUGUAGUUGCCUCCUUCCAUUUUGUGGGAUUUUUGCUGGUCCUGUAUGCCUGAAGGUACCCUUAAUCGUGUAGUCAAAACAUAGUAUUUAAACCUAAAGGAGUACUAUUUAUCUGAUUGUGGUAAUCGGAGGUGCACUCAUAUCUGUACCCUCCUUUCUCCUUUUUGUACAUUGGUUGUUAUGGUUUCAUGUAGGAGCUUACUAUUUUGUGUACUCUUCCAACAUAUGUACGUUUCAAUGUCCCUUGGCAAUUUAAUCAGCAAUCAUAGAUACAUAUAACAAAUAGGCCCACUUCGACAGGCAAAAACUAGGGAUCCAAUUCAUUCACUUUUUCUGAGUUUGUUCUUGUAGGGAACCUACUGCAAAUAAUUAAGAUUGCACUAUUUCUUUCGCCAAUGCAAAGGUAAGAUUAUGAUUUAUGAGUGGUGGGCUAGCUAAGAUUCUCCUCCUGGGGAAUUGCGACUGUCCUCUGCAAAACUGAGAUAAAUUCAUUGCUGUUUUUAGUUAAACUAAGGCCUAGUCUUUUAAGUAUUACAUUGUGAGCAUUAUUAAUACAAGAAACAACAAUUUGUCAAGAACAUAUGUAUUUCAAUCAACUGCGCGCAACUCAGAUGUUCUCGCAAUUUCUGUUAAGAGCACUUGUUUUAAAGUUUUAUAGUAGUGUUGUUUGUUUUGGCUGAUUCUUAACUGCCAGUAUAUCCUAUACAUAUCCACUAUAUACGUAGCACUUUCUCAAACCGAAACCCUCUGUUAAUCAUUCUGGGUUUACCUGUGGGCAUCCACACUCGUUAAAUAACUCUAAAGUUAUGUUGUAGCAACCUUCACUAUGCUUUAUGUGAAGUUGCAAACUACAUAGUGUUUACCUGGUCAGUUGCUGACCAAAGAAUUUAUGCUCAACAACCCUUAUAUUUACAUCCAAGGGUGGAAAACAAAACACCUUAACUUAAUAAUAAUUCUCUCUGCCCUUGGAUUUACAUCUAAAGGUGGUUGAUCAUUAUUUUCUUAGUCAAUAACUGACCAGGUGAACAUUUUCGCAUGCUUAUUAUCGGAUUGGAUUGGAUUGGUUAUGUUAUUCAGUUAUUGCUAAUCCUGCUAAUCAAUGCGAUGCGUUCUGUCGUUUAAGACUCAAAUGUGAUCGGUCCUUUAAUACUCAAAUGUCAUCCAUAAUUUAAUAUAACCAACUAAAACCACUUUAGAUAAUAUUGGAUUGCAUCUGUUAGUUCUUCUUGUAGAUUUUCUUUUACAUCCUUACAUCUUGUAUCCUUGUGGUUUUCUUCUUUCAGAGGGAACGACUUCGUCAGGAACGUCAACCUACUUUAUUAAAGAGUUUGGAAUCAAGAUAGUAGUAUUGAUUACAGUUUUUUUUUUUCAGUCUGUUAUACUAGUUGCAGUUAAAAUUUUUUGAUGUAUUUAGACUUUCUUAGAUCUUAGUGUAGAAAGAUACAAUAGGUAAUGAAGCUUUUGCUUUUGCCAAUGACACAUGAGAUGCUCUCUCUUUGAUGUAUCUUUUAACUUACUGUUAAAUUACUCCCUUACA